UACGUAGGGAGCAAGCGUUGUCCGGAAUCAUUGGGCGUAAAGCGCGCGUAGGUGGCCCCAUAAGUCCGCUGUGAAAGUCAAAGGCUCAACCUUUGAAAGCCGAUGGAUACUGCGGAGCUAGAGUACGGAAGAGGCGAGUGGAAUCCUGGUGUAGCGGUGGAAUGCGCAGGAUAGUCAAGGAGGAACACCAAUAGCGAAGGCAGCUCGCUGGGACGUUACUGACACUGAGGCGCGAAAGCGUGGGGAGCGAACAGGAUUAGACUACCCCGUGU
This 272-nucleotide ribosomal RNA is filed under the name uncultured bacterium. RNAcentral's name for it is "partial 16S ribosomal RNA". It matches the Rfam family "Bacterial small subunit ribosomal RNA", at positions 524 to 792 of the family's 1533-position model. The record is from RNAcentral.